RNAcentral lists this ribosomal RNA (529 nucleotides) under uncultured bacterium. Its description in RNAcentral is "bacterial SSU rRNA". It matches the Rfam family "Bacterial small subunit ribosomal RNA", at positions 777 to 1304 of the family's 1533-position model. The record is from RNAcentral.
AAUAGAUACCCUGGUAGUCCACGCCGUAAACGAUGAGUGCUAAGUGUUAGAGGGUUUCCGCCCUUUAGUGCUGCAGCUAACGCAUUAAGCACUCCGCCUGGGGAGUACGGUCGCAAGACUGAAACUCAAAGGAAUUGACGGGGGCCCGCACAAGCGGUGGAGCAUGUGGUUUAAUUCGAAGCAACGCGAAGAACCUUACCAGGUCUUGACAUCCCACUGGCCGGUAUAGAGAUAUACCUUUCCCUUCGGGGACAGUGGUGACAGGUGGUGCAUGGUUGUCGUCAGCUCGUGUCGUGAGAUGUUGGGUUAAGUCCCGCAACGAGCGCAACCCUUGAUCUUAGUUGCCAGCAUUUAGUUGGGCACUCUAAGGUGACUGCCGGUGACAAACCGGAGGAAGGUGGGGAUGACGUCAAAUCAUCAUGCCCCUUAUGACCUGGGCUACACACGUGCUACAAUGGAUGGUACAAAGGGCUGCAAGACUGCGAAGUCAAGCCAAUCCCAUAAAACCAUUCUCAGUUCGGAUUGCAGG